AGUAACGCGUGAGGAACCUGCCUCAAAGAGGGGGACAACAGUUGGAAGCGGCUGCUAAUACCGCAUAAGCCCACGGCUCGGCAUCGAGCAGAGGGAAAAGGAGCAAUCCGCUUUGAGAUGGCCUCGCGUCCGAUUAGCUAGUUGGUGAGGUAAUGGCCCACCAAGGCAACGAUCGGUAGCCGGACUGAGAGGUUGAACGGCCACAUUGGGACUGAGACACGGCCCAG
This 227-nucleotide ribosomal RNA is filed under the name uncultured bacterium. Its description in RNAcentral is "partial 16S ribosomal RNA". It matches the Rfam family "Bacterial small subunit ribosomal RNA", at positions 109 to 334 of the family's 1533-position model. The record is from RNAcentral.